RNAcentral lists this long non-coding RNA (584 nucleotides) under Coturnix japonica (Japanese quail). Its description in RNAcentral is "lncRNA (ENSCJPG00005010473.1)". The record is from RNAcentral. Lineage: Eukaryota; Metazoa; Chordata; Aves; Galliformes; Phasianidae.
UAACUGUGGGCUCUAUGCUUUUGGAGCGAUAAUUAAAAGGAGGGGGUUGGAGCUGCCCAGGGGCUAGGUAACUAUGAGGUUGGAAUAAAGAGUCUUAUCCCUCCAUUCAGCAACUGACUGAUAGCAUGAAACAAAGAUGAAUAUGUAAGAAGGCUGGUUGAAUCAAAGGCUAAGCAGUUUCAAGACAUCUUGAUGCCUGGAUGAAAGAUGUUUCUUCUGAGUCAGCAGUGUUCUUCUCCAGCAUUUUGCAAGGUGUUUUCUCCUGCUGGCAAAAUCAGAAAUACUAGUAACUUAACAAGGCUUUUAAAGGGGCAACACUUUGGUCUCCAAUGGAAAUUUACUUCCAUUCCACCCUGUUGCGAUCUUAAGGAAGUUGCCAGUGGAAAUCUGUCCACAAUGAAGUAAGUGGCCAGAGUAGCUGGGUACACUGAAUCCUCUAUUUCAAAAGUCAAUGAGGUGUUGUUACUGUGAAUGUAAAACACAUUGGAGACAGAAGGAAAGGAGGAGAAGAUAAUGCGUGUCAUUUUGCAAUCAGUUCAUUAGGAAAAGGAAAAAAAAAAAACAAAACAAAAAAACCCAAAAAG